This 227-nucleotide long non-coding RNA is filed under the name Lathyrus oleraceus (garden pea). Its description in RNAcentral is "Pisum sativum (pea) long non-coding RNA (PSAT_LNC016925)". Lineage: Eukaryota; Viridiplantae; Streptophyta; Magnoliopsida; Fabales; Fabaceae. The record is from RNAcentral.
CCUUUUUCGGGUUUUCAAUCCACCGGGAUACCCAUUUUUGCCUGAGCCGCCCUUUUGGGUUUUCGACUCACCGGGUGUACUCUUUUUUUUUAUCCCUAAUUUUUGCCCGAACCUCUUUAUUCUUUUUUUUGGUUCGUCGGGAUGCCCCUUUUUGCCUGGACUAUUCUUUUUACUGUCCAGCGGGUCUAUUUUAUGCGAAGUAUAUUUUUAACUGCGUCUGAGUUGAC